CAGAAACUAACNAGGAUUCCUUUAGUAGCGGCGAGCGAAGCGGGAAGAGCCCAUCGCCGAAUCCCCGGGGGCGCGAGUCCUCGAGGGAAAUGUGGCGUGAGGAAGUCCGUUGCCGCGGCCGCGGCGGCGCCGAGGUCCUUCUGAUCGAGGCCUCUUCCGUCCCACGGCGGGUGUCAGGCCCCUGCGGGCGCCGUCCGGUCGCGGAACCAAGGCUUCCAGGAGUCGGGUUGUUUUGUAGCGCAGCCCAAAGGCGGGUG
Molecule: ribosomal RNA, 257 nt
Filed under: Echinaster tenuispinus
Lineage: Eukaryota; Metazoa; Echinodermata; Asteroidea; Spinulosida; Echinasteridae
Description: partial 28S ribosomal RNA
Rfam family: Eukaryotic large subunit ribosomal RNA
Source: RNAcentral